This is a long non-coding RNA of Chelonia mydas (Green sea turtle), 190 nucleotides long. RefSeq lists it as uncharacterized. The record is from RefSeq and is a predicted model, not a curated record. NCBI's taxonomy places the organism in Eukaryota, Metazoa, Chordata, Testudines, Cheloniidae. The transcript has 2 exons.
UGCAAUUCGAUGGUAUUGGCCUCUGGGAGCUAUCCCAGAGUGCUCCAAUGUGACCACUCUGGACAGCAUUUUCAACUCCAAUGCACUAGCCAGGUAUACAGGAAAAGCCCCAGGAACUUUUGAAUUUCAUUUCCUGUUUGGUCAGUGUGGCGAGCUCAGCAGCACAGGUGACCAUGAAGUCCCAGAAUCA